RNAcentral lists this small RNA (98 nucleotides) under Erwinia tasmaniensis. Lineage: Bacteria; Pseudomonadati; Pseudomonadota; Gammaproteobacteria; Enterobacterales; Erwiniaceae. The record is from RNAcentral.
GGGCGACAAUGCCCUCAAUAGACCUCAUGUUUAGCGCACGGCUCUGCCAAGAGCCCUUUACCUGGACUGAAGACAGGAUUUGUCUUCAGUCUUUUUUU